AUCGCAAAAGUCAUCCUUUAUUAUAAACUUGAAAUCAAGUUUAGCCAAAAGGUCUACAGAGAUGACAUUCAUCAAAAAGGAGGGACAAUAAUGAUAAUCAUUUAACAAGAUACUACUGGACUCGAAGACAAGCUUUAAAGUUCCUAGAACUAGAACAAAACUUCUAUCUCUAACAUUGAGGAACUACUCGCCAUCUCUAAACUUCUUACUUAUCUGUCGUCCCUGUAAUGAAUUGAAUAUAUUAAUAAGACUUUCAAUAUCCAAUACCC
RNAcentral lists this long non-coding RNA (269 nucleotides) under Elaeis guineensis (African oil palm). Its description in RNAcentral is "long non-coding RNA (EGUI_LNC062546)". The record is from RNAcentral. Lineage: Eukaryota; Viridiplantae; Streptophyta; Magnoliopsida; Arecales; Arecaceae.